Molecule: long non-coding RNA, 635 nt
Organism: Sphaerodactylus townsendi
Lineage: Eukaryota; Metazoa; Chordata; Lepidosauria; Squamata; Sphaerodactylidae
Exons: 2
Source: RefSeq, a predicted model, not a curated record
CUUCACGAAAGCCUUCGACGAUACAGCUCCUCCCUGUUCCUUCUGGCAGCAUGAACAGCUGAUUCGCUCUACCGUUGCGGUAGUCAAAGGGCAGGAUACGAUUCUUAAACAGUCUCAUGAAAAGAGCCAAAGGGCAUUUGGAUGAGACUGUUCCUGAGGGCACCUUUCUCCGGUGGUUCAGUAAGGACCUGUUAAACAGGCUACUGUGUCCUGCAACGGUUGCUGGUAGAGGCAGUGCAUUUCCCAAGCCAAUUGCUAAGUUUCAAAAAUCACCAGGCCUCUUCUAUACUCUACUACUGGCCUAAUUCGGCGCCCUCUGAUUCACGCGUCCGUCUUUUCCCCCCGGCCAGCACUUGGCAGAAUGCCUGGAGCGUGGAAGAAUUCACUCCAGUUGUUUCUGCAGGCUGUAAACGUGUAAUUAAUGGUAUAGCUAAAGGAUUUUUUUUUGGUUUAAAAAAAGGUUCUUUCCUGUAUUUGUAUGUCUGUAAAUACAUUCCAUAGUUUUCUAAGAUAUAACUUCAGAAUAUCAUGUACUUUAUUUUAAAUUGCCUGUAUGUUAUCAGUCGACAUCUAGUGCACAUGAACUUAUAAACUCCAAGCCUGGGUGAUUUGAAAUAAAUGAUAAAGCUUUAAAA